This 253-nucleotide ribosomal RNA is filed under the name uncultured bacterium. Its description in RNAcentral is "partial 16S ribosomal RNA". It matches the Rfam family "Bacterial small subunit ribosomal RNA", at positions 524 to 776 of the family's 1533-position model. The record is from RNAcentral.
UACGUAGGGUGCGAGCGUUAAUCGGAAUUACUGGGCGUAAAGGGUGCGCAGGCGGUUUUGUAAGCCAGAUGGGAAAUCCCCGGGCUCAACCUGGGAAUGGCAUUUGGGACUGCAAGGCUAGAGUGUGGCAGAGGAGACUGGAAUUCCCGGUGUAGCAGUGAAAUGCGUAGAUAUCAGGAGGAACACCGAUGGCGAAGGCAGGUCUCUGGGCUGACACUGACGCUCAUGCACGAAAGCGUGGGGAGCAAACAGG